This 61-nucleotide ribosomal RNA is filed under the name Vibrio parahaemolyticus. Lineage: Bacteria; Pseudomonadati; Pseudomonadota; Gammaproteobacteria; Vibrionales; Vibrionaceae. The record is from RNAcentral.
CUUGGCGACCAUAGCGUUUUGGACCCACCUGAUUCCAUUCCGAACUCAGAAGUGAAACGAA